Molecule: ribosomal RNA, 411 nt
Filed under: actinobacterium SCGC AAA028-F19
Lineage: Bacteria; Bacillati; Actinomycetota; Actinomycetes
Description: bacterial SSU rRNA
Rfam family: Bacterial small subunit ribosomal RNA
Source: RNAcentral
GUGGGGAAUAUUGGGCAAUGGAGGGAACUCUGACCCAGCGACGCCGCGUGCGGGAUGAAGGCCUUCGGGUUGUAAACCGCUUUCAGCAAGGAAGAAGCGAAAGUGACGGUACUUGCAGAAGAAGCACCGGCUAACUAUGUGCCAGCAGCCGCGGUAAUACAUAGGGUGCAAGCGUUGUCCGGAAUUAUUGGGCGUAAAGAGCUCGUAGGUGGUUCGUCACGUCGGAUGUGAAAAUCUGGGGCUUAACCCCAGACCUGCAUUCGAUACGGGCGAGCUAGAGUGUGGUAGGGGAGACUGGAAUUCCUGGUGUAGCGGUGGAAUGCGCAGAUAUCAGGAGGAACACCAAUGGCGAAGGCAGGUCUCUGGGCCAUUACUGACACUGAGGAGCGAAAGCGUGGGGAGCGAACAGGA